UAAUUGAAGAGUUUGAUCAUGGCUCAGAUUGAACGCUGGCGGCAGGCCUAACACAUGCAAGUCGAGCGGCAGCACAGAGGAACUUGUUCCUUGGGUGGCGAGCGGCGGACGGGUGAGUAAUGCCUGGGAAAUUGCCCGGUAGAGGGGGAUAACCAUUGGAAACGAUGGCUAAUACCGCAUAACCUCGUAAGAGCAAAGCAGGGGA
This 205-nucleotide ribosomal RNA is filed under the name Vibrio cholerae. RNAcentral describes it as "partial 16S ribosomal RNA". It matches the Rfam family "Bacterial small subunit ribosomal RNA", at positions 1 to 213 of the family's 1533-position model. The record is from RNAcentral. Lineage: Bacteria; Pseudomonadati; Pseudomonadota; Gammaproteobacteria; Vibrionales; Vibrionaceae.